Paramuricea clavata is the source of this 314-nucleotide non-coding RNA. The record is from the annotation of a GenBank genome assembly. NCBI's taxonomy places the organism in Eukaryota, Metazoa, Cnidaria, Anthozoa, Malacalcyonacea, Plexauridae.
UGUUUAUAGAACAAACAAACCAAGUAAAAAUUGUUAAUUAAACCGCAAAAUCGGAGAUCGGAUAAGCGGACUGGCGUAUUCAUGACAUAAGGCAAAUUUUAGUUUCAGCGAGCCAAGUCUGCUUCCUCGUACCAACGAUGUGUAUCUUACAACUUUCCUCUUAUAUAGUAUCUUACGACUUGCCUUUGAGGACAAGGAAACAUUAACUUGUUCAUAUAUUAUCAUGUUUGUUGUUGUUUAAGGGGCCGCAGUAAUUGGCUUGCGCUGUUGUGGAUUCCCUGCCAUGUGCUAAUAUAGUUUAUAUUUGUACAAGG